ACGCACGCUGGCGGCGUGCCUAAUACAUGCAAGUUGAGCGCUGAAGGUUGGUACUUGUACCCACUGGAUGAGCAGCGAACGGGUGAGUAACGCGUGGGGAAUCUGCCUUUGAGCGGGGGACAACAUUUGGAAACGAAUGCUAAUACCGCAUAAAAACUUUAAACACAAGUUUUAAGUUUGAAAGAUGCAAUUGCAUCACUCAAAGAUGAUCCCGCGUUGUAUUAGCUAGUUGGUGAGGUAAAGGCUCACCAAGGCGAUGAUACAUAGCCGACCUGAGAGGGUGAUCGGCCACAUUGGGACUGAGACACGGCCCAAACUCCUACGGGAGGCAGCAGUAGGGAAUCUUCGGCAAUGGACGAAAGUCUGACCGAGCAACGCUGCGUGAGUGAAGAAGGUUUUCGGAUCGUAAAACUCUGUUGGUAGAGAAGAACGUUGGUGAGAGUGGAAAGCUCAUCAAGUGACGGUAACUACCCAGAAAGGGACGGCUAACUACGUG
This 496-nucleotide ribosomal RNA is filed under the name uncultured bacterium. RNAcentral's name for it is "partial 16S ribosomal RNA". It matches the Rfam family "Bacterial small subunit ribosomal RNA", at positions 29 to 507 of the family's 1533-position model. The record is from RNAcentral.